This is a long non-coding RNA of Gossypium arboreum, 539 nucleotides long. RefSeq lists it as uncharacterized. The record is from RefSeq and is a predicted model, not a curated record. The transcript is spliced from 2 exons. Lineage: Eukaryota; Viridiplantae; Streptophyta; Magnoliopsida; Malvales; Malvaceae.
AUAGAGGAUGAAAAUUGAGACUUGGACCUAGAACGGAAAGAAAUCGAUUUAUGGACGAGUAUGUCCUUUUCACAUUUGUGGUAUCGAGAGUUUCCAGGUUAGCUCGGGUUGGAGGCCGUCGGAGAUAUUAUCACCCUAUCGAGUUAACGUUAUCGGAGUAAGUAAACUCAAGUGAUUCGAGUCUAUGGCAUGUAUAGGGUUUUAAUGUGAGUAUGUAAUAUUAUGAUUUAGCCAAAGGCGUUGGCUUGUUAUUAAGGUAGUAUUAGUCAUGUAAAUUGGCCUAUGUCGGCUAAUGACAUUAUGGGCCCAUAUGAUUAUUCUUAUGCAUGUAUGUUAUUAUCUCUUGUGAUGUGGCUUACAACAUGUAUGCCUAGAGAUUGAAUUGAGAUUCAUUGAUGAGCUAGUAACUAAUGCAGGAUUAAGUGAUUGGUAAAUAGUUAAUAAUGCUUCAUGAAUGGUUUGUGAGGUAAUGAUAGUUAUGUCUAGUAUGUGGUAAUGAUAUGGGCAAAUUCUAUAAUAUUUAUUGCAUAAGAAAAUAA